ACGCUGGCGGCAGGCCUAACACAUGCAAGUCGAGCGGUAGAGAGAAGCUUGCUUCUCUUGAGAGCGGCGGACGGGUGAGUAAUGCCUAGGAAUCUGCCUGGUAGUGGGGGAUAACGUCCGGAAACGGACGCUAAUACCGCAUACGUCCUACGGGAGAAAGCAGGGGACCUUCGGGCCUUGCGCUAUCAGAUGAGCCUAGGUCGGAUUAGCUAGUUGGUGGGGUAAUGGCUCACCAAGGCGACGAUCCGUAACUGGUCUGAGAGGAUGAUCAGUCACACUGGAACUGAGACACGGUCCAGACUCCUACGGGAGGCAGCAGUGGGGAAUAUUGGACAAUGGGCGAAAGCCUGAUCCAGCCAUGCCGCGUGUGUGAAGAAGGUCUUCGGAUUGUAAAGCACUUUAAGUUGGGAGGAAGGGCAGUUACCUAAUACGUGAUUGUUUUGACGUUACCGACAGAAUAAGCACCGGCUAACUCUGUGCCAGCAGCCGCGGUAAUACAGAGGGUGCAAGCGUUAAUCGGAAUUACUGGGCGUAAAGCGCGCGUAGGUGGUUCGUUAAGUUGGAUGUGAAAUCCCCGGGCUCACCUGGGAACUGCAUUCAAAACUGACGAGCUAGAGUAUGGUAGAGGGUGGUGGAAUUU
This 640-nucleotide ribosomal RNA is filed under the name uncultured bacterium. Its description in RNAcentral is "bacterial SSU rRNA". It matches the Rfam family "Bacterial small subunit ribosomal RNA", at positions 33 to 669 of the family's 1533-position model. The record is from RNAcentral.